This 412-nucleotide long non-coding RNA is filed under the name Mytilus galloprovincialis (Mediterranean mussel). The record is from RNAcentral. Lineage: Eukaryota; Metazoa; Mollusca; Bivalvia; Mytilida; Mytilidae.
CUGUGUAUGUAGAUUCUUAAUUUUUGGUCCCGUUUUCAAAUUGGUCUACAUUAAGAUCCAAAGGGUCCAAAAUUAAACUUAGUUUGAUUUUAACAAAAAUUGAAUCCUUGGGGUUCUUUGAUAUGCUGAAUCUAAAAAUGUACUUAGAUUUUUGAUUAUUGGCCCAGUUUUCAAGUUGGUCCAAAUCGGGGUCCAAAAUUAAACUUUGUUUGAUUUCAUCAAAAAUUGAAUAAUUGGGGUUCUUUGAUAUGCCAAAUCUAACUGUGUAUGUAGAUUCUUAAUUUUUGGUCCUGUUUUCAAAUUGGUCUACAUUAAAGUCCAAAGGGUCCAAAAUUAAAGUAAGUUUGAUUUUAACAAAAAUUGAAUUCUUGGGCUUUUUUGAUAUGCUGAAUCUAAACAUAUACUUAGAUUU